GAAGAAUUUUUAUUGUUACAUCCUAUCAGGAAUGCAUGGUAUCCACAUGCCAUCACUGCACAUGAAAAUUUUUAUCACUCAUUUAAGGUCCUGUCAGCAUCAGAAUUUUCAUGACUGAAGAAAAAAAAGAAUUUUGGUGAAUGCUGGAUUCACUGGAUUUUCCAACUGUAAAAGCAACCGCAUGUGACUCUAACUCCAUUUCUUAUACUUCUGCCAUAAACACAGUGUUAACUGUUGGCAUUAUA
This is a long non-coding RNA of Suricata suricatta (meerkat), 245 nucleotides long. RefSeq lists it as uncharacterized. NCBI's taxonomy places the organism in Eukaryota, Metazoa, Chordata, Mammalia, Carnivora, Herpestidae. The transcript is spliced from 2 exons. The record is from RefSeq and is a predicted model, not a curated record.